RNAcentral lists this ribosomal RNA (465 nucleotides) under Vreelandella stevensii. RNAcentral describes it as "partial 16S ribosomal RNA". It matches the Rfam family "Bacterial small subunit ribosomal RNA", at positions 338 to 795 of the family's 1533-position model. The record is from RNAcentral. Lineage: Bacteria; Pseudomonadati; Pseudomonadota; Gammaproteobacteria; Oceanospirillales; Halomonadaceae.
CCUACGGGUGGCAGCAGUGGGGAAUAUUGGACAAUGGACGAAAGCCUGAUCCAGCCAUGCCGCGUGUGUGAAGAAGGCCUUCGGGUUGUAAAGCACUUUCAGUGGGGAAGAAAGCCUUGGGGCUAAUACCCUCGAGGAAGGACAUCACCCACAGAAGAAGCACCGGCUAACUCCGUGCCAGCAGCCGCGGUAAUACGGAGGGUGCGAGCGUUAAUCGGAAUUACUGGGCGUAAAGCGCGCGUAGGCGGUCUGAUAAGCCGGUUGUGAAAGCCCCGGGCUCAACCUGGGAACGGCAUCCGGAACUGUCAGGCUAGAGUGCAGGAGAGGAAGGUAGAAUUCCCGGUGUAGCGGUGAAAUGCGUAGAGAUCGGGAGGAAUACCAGUGGCGAAGGCGGCCUUCUGGACUGACACUGACGCUGAGGUGCGAAAGCGUGGGUAGCAAACAGGAUUAGAUACCCCUGUAGUC